UUCCGGUUGAYUCUWCGGAGGCCAUUGCUAUUGGGAUUCGAUUUAGCCAUGCUAGUCGCACGAGUUCAGACUCGUGGCGAAUAGCUCAGUAACACGUGGCCAAACUACCCUUCGGAACACAAUACCCUCGGGAAACUGAGGCUAAUAGUGUAUACCACAGUUCACCUGGAAUGAGAACUGUGCCAAACGCUCCGGCGCCGAAGAAUGUGGCUGCGGCCGAUUAGGUAGACGGUGGGGUAACGGCCCACCGUGCCAAUAAUCGGUACGGGUCAUGAGAGUGAGAACCCGGAGACGGAAUCUGAGACAAGAUUCCGGGCCCUACGGGGCGCAGCAGGCGCGAAACCUUUACACUGCACGACAGUGCGAUAAGGGAAUCCCAAGUGCGUAGGCAUAGAGCCUACGCUUUUGUCUACCGUAGGGAGGUAGACGAAUAAGGGCUGGGCAAGACCGGUGCCAGCCGCCGCGGUAAUACCGGCAGCCCGAGUGAUGGCCGAUCUUAUUGGGCCUAAAGCGUCCGUAGCUGGCCGUACAAGUCCAUCGGAAAAUCCACCCGCUCAACGGGUGGGCGUCCGGUGGAAACUGUGCGGCUUGGGACCGGAAGGCGCGACGGGUACGUCCGGGGUAGGAGUGAAAUCCCGUAAUCCUGGACGGACCGCCGAUGGCGAAAGCACGUCGCGAGAACGGAUCCGACAGUGAGGGACGAAAGCUAGGGUCUCGAACCGGAUUAGAUACCCGGGUAGUCCUAGCCGUAAACAAUGCCUGCUAGGUGUGGCUCCCACUACGAGUGGGUGCUGUGCCGUAGGGAAGCCGCUAAGCAGGCCGCCUGGGAAGUACGUCCGCAAGGAUGAAACUUAAAGGAAUUGGCGGGGAGCACUACAACCGGAGAGCKCGUU
Molecule: ribosomal RNA, 893 nt
Filed under: uncultured haloarchaeon
Lineage: Archaea; Methanobacteriati; Methanobacteriota; Halobacteria; Halobacteriales; Halobacteriaceae
Description: bacterial SSU rRNA
Rfam family: Archaeal small subunit ribosomal RNA
Source: RNAcentral